This 449-nucleotide ribosomal RNA is filed under the name uncultured bacterium. RNAcentral's name for it is "partial 16S ribosomal RNA". It matches the Rfam family "Bacterial small subunit ribosomal RNA", at positions 29 to 523 of the family's 1533-position model. The record is from RNAcentral.
AAUGAACGCCGGCGGCAGGCCUAACACAUGCAAGUCGAACGGAUCCUUCGGGAUUAGUGGCGGACGGGUGAGUAACGCGUGGGAACAUACCCUUUGGUACGGAAUAGCCUCGGGAAACUGGGAGUAAUACCGUAUGUGGUCGAGAGACGAAAGAUUUAUCGCCAAAGGAUUGGCCCGCGUUGGAUUAGGUAGUUGGUGGGGUAAUGGCCUACCAAGCCGACGAUCCAUAGCUGGUUUGAGAGGAUGAUCAGCCACACUGGGACUGAGACACGGCCCACACUCCUACGGGAGGCAGCAGUGGGGAAUCUUAGACAAUGGGGGAAACCCUGAUCUAGCCAUGCCGCGUGAUCGCUCCCGGCCUUAGGGUUGUAAAGCUCUUUCAGGUGGGAAGAUAAUGACUGUACCACCAGAAGAAGCCCCGGCUAACUCCGUGCCAGCAGCCGCGGUAA